Molecule: ribosomal RNA, 1555 nt
Filed under: Salmonella enterica subsp. enterica serovar Montevideo str. CDC 2010K-0257
Lineage: Bacteria; Pseudomonadati; Pseudomonadota; Gammaproteobacteria; Enterobacterales; Enterobacteriaceae
Description: bacterial SSU rRNA
Rfam family: Bacterial small subunit ribosomal RNA
Source: RNAcentral
UUAAAUUGAAGAGUUUGAUCAUGGCUCAGAUUGAACGCUGGCGGCAGGCCUAACACAUGCAAGUCGAACGGUAACAGGAAGCAGCUUGCUGCUUCGCUGACGAGUGGCGGACGGGUGAGUAAUGUCUGGGAAACUGCCUGAUGGAGGGGGAUAACUACUGGAAACGGUGGCUAAUACCGCAUAACGUCGCAAGACCAAAGAGGGGGACCUUCGGGCCUCUUGCCAUCAGAUGUGCCCAGAUGGGAUUAGCUUGUUGGUGAGGUAACGGCUCACCAAGGCGACGAUCCCUAGCUGGUCUGAGAGGAUGACCAGCCACACUGGAACUGAGACACGGUCCAGACUCCUACGGGAGGCAGCAGUGGGGAAUAUUGCACAAUGGGCGCAAGCCUGAUGCAGCCAUGCCGCGUGUAUGAAGAAGGCCUUCGGGUUGUAAAGUACUUUCAGCGGGGAGGAAGGUGUUGUGGUUAAUAACCGCAGCAAUUGACGUUACCCGCAGAAGAAGCACCGGCUAACUCCGUGCCAGCAGCCGCGGUAAUACGGAGGGUGCAAGCGUUAAUCGGAAUUACUGGGCGUAAAGCGCACGCAGGCGGUCUGUCAAGUCGGAUGUGAAAUCCCCGGGCUCAACCUGGGAACUGCAUUCGAAACUGGCAGGCUUGAGUCUUGUAGAGGGGGUAGAAUUCCAGGUGUAGCGGUGAAAUGCGUAGAGAUCUGGAGGAAUACCGGUGGCGAAGGCGGCCCCCUGGACAAAGACUGACGCUCAGGUGCGAAAGCGUGGGGAGCAAACAGGAUUAGAUACCCUGGUAGUCCACGCCGUAAACGAUGUCUACUUGGAGGUUGUGCCCUUGAGGCGUGGCUUCCGGAGCUAACGCGUUAAGUAGACCGCCUGGGGAGUACGGCCGCAAGGUUAAAACUCAAAUGAAUUGACGGGGGCCCGCACAAGCGGUGGAGCAUGUGGUUUAAUUCGAUGCAACGCGAAGAACCUUACCUGGUCUUGACAUCCACGGAAGAAUUCAGAGAUGGAUUUGUGCCUUCGGGAACCGUGAGACAGGUGCUGCAUGGCUGUCGUCAGCUCGUGUUGUGAAAUGUUGGGUUAAGUCCCGCAACGAGCGCAACCCUUAUCCUUUGUUGCCAGCGGUCCGGCCGGGAACUCAAAGGAGACUGCCAGUGAUAAACUGGAGGAAGGUGGGGAUGACGUCAAGUCAUCAUGGCCCUUACGACCAGGGCUACACACGUGCUACAAUGGCGCAUACAAAGAGAAGCGACCUCGCGAGAGCAAGCGGACCUCAUAAAGUGCGUCGUAGUCCGGAUUGGAGUCUGCAACUCGACUCCAUGAAGUCGGAAUCGCUAGUAAUCGUGGAUCAGAAUGCCACGGUGAAUACGUUCCCGGGCCUUGUACACACCGCCCGUCACACCAUGGGAGUGGGUUGCAAAAGAAGUAGGUAGCUUAACCUUCGGGAGGGCGCUUACCACUUUGUGAUUCAUGACUGGGGUGAAGUCGUAACAAGGUAACCGUAGGGGAACCUGCGGUUGGAUCACCUCCUUACCUUAAAGAAGC